UACGUAGGGAGCAAGCGUUGUCCGGAAUCAUUGGGCGUAAAGCGCGCGUAGGUGGCCCUGUAAGUCCGUUGUGAAAGUCAAAGGCUCAACCUUUGAAAGCCGAUGGAUACUGCAGGGCUAGAGUACGGAAGAGGCGAGUGGAAUUCCUGGUGUAGCGGUGGAAUGCGCAGAUAUCAGGAGGAACACCGGUGGCGAAGGCGGGUCUCUGGGCCGAUACUGACGCUGAGGAGCGAAAGCGUGGGGAGCGAACAGG
RNAcentral lists this ribosomal RNA (253 nucleotides) under uncultured bacterium. RNAcentral describes it as "partial 16S ribosomal RNA". It matches the Rfam family "Bacterial small subunit ribosomal RNA", at positions 524 to 776 of the family's 1533-position model. The record is from RNAcentral.